This 649-nucleotide ribosomal RNA is filed under the name Mucor hiemalis f. hiemalis. RNAcentral's name for it is "LSU rRNA". It matches the Rfam family "Eukaryotic large subunit ribosomal RNA", at positions 66 to 546 of the family's 3401-position model. The record is from RNAcentral. Lineage: Eukaryota; Fungi; Mucoromycota; Mucoromycetes; Mucorales; Mucoraceae.
UAACCAGGAUUCCCCUAGUAACGGCGAGUGAAGCGGGAACAGCUCAAGACGGUAAUCCCGCUCUUUAACUGGAGCGGGAGUUGUAGUCUAUGGACGUUGCUACUGCGGUGCGUGUUGCGGCCCAAGUCCCUUGGAACAGGGCGCCAGAGAGGGUGACAGCCCCGUCCGGCCGCAACGGCGCCAGUAUGUGCGACAGUCCGAGAGUCGGGUUGUUUGGGAAUGCAGCCCUAAGCGGGAGGUACACACCUUCCAAAGCUAAAUAUUCAGGCAAGAGACCGAUAGCGAACAAGUACCGUGAGGGAAAGUUGAAAAGCACUCUGGAGAGAGAGUGAAAAGUACGUGAAACCACGGGUAGGGAACCGCUUGCACGGGACAAUGAGCAGCAGGCCGAUUCGUCGGCCUGUUGCCGCCCAGCACGAGUUUGCGCUGCCAGAGAAGCGCUCGGCAAAGGUAGCACUCUUCGGGGUGUGUUAUAGGGCCGGGCGCGCGCUGGUGGCGUGGACUGAGGACAGCGGCACCCCCUUUAUUGGGGCGUCGGCGAGAACGGCGAGGCCCUGCUGGGCACGCGGACAAGACAGCAUGCUGACUUGGCUGCGUGGCUGGUGGGCUACCUUGCCUCGCACGGCGUAGUUGCCGACGGGUGGCUGGG